RNAcentral lists this transfer RNA (72 nucleotides) under Podarcis lilfordi (Lilford's wall lizard). RNAcentral's name for it is "tRNA.Ile". Lineage: Eukaryota; Metazoa; Chordata; Lepidosauria; Squamata; Lacertidae. The record is from RNAcentral.
GGGAUAGCUCAGUUGGUUAGAGCAUGGUGCUGAUAAACGCCAAGGUUGCAAGUUUGAUCCCCAUUUGAGACA